GAGAUAUCACUGACUACAGGGAUGUAAACUCUAGGAAGUCUCAGAGAAGCCAGUGCAGGGUACUCCCGACAAACCCACUCUUACCAUCUUCAGGCUCUGAAGGGCACAGUUUCAAGAGGGAUGAAUUAUCUGGAAUGAGGUUGAGGCUGCUCUGUACCUACGAAGACAAAAGGGGGAAGAGGAGGUGGGUCUCACAUCCUGCCAACCCUACUUAAGACAAGAAUGGCUCUUCCCUCGAUUCCAGCACUUGUCUUCUCUAAGGACUCCAAUCCCUGAAGCGCAUCUAGAAGGCCAGCUUCCCUCGAUCGUCCCUCGAUCUCUCUCAGCCUCCCUCUACCCGAAGAUACAAUCCCAGAUAACUCCAUACAUCUAACAUUACCGACCCCCUCGUAUCUCCAAUCUAAAAGUAUUCAUCACACACACACACUGCCCCAAGCCAAACCCGCCACGCCAGUCUUAGCACUCCCCCAACAACCCUCCUUGGGGACCUUGCUGCACCUUCCCGGAGUACACUGGGACCACCGGCGCCUCUCCGGGAUCCAGCAGCCGCCGCCGCCGCCGUCGCACCAAUGUACGCGGGGCUCCCGCAGGCCCCUCGGCCGCCCCUUCACUGUCACUGUCGCUGUCCUGCUCAGGUUUAGCCGGCGCGGGGAGGCGGGCGACCGGCACCUCUACUGGGUCUGCGACUUCCAAGACCUCUUCGUCGCUGUCACUGACCAAGUCCACAAGCACGGUGUCUGGAAUGAGCCUAGCCGGAGACUGCCGGGCGCGAGGACACCGGCCACGGGCGCCUCGGGCUCUCCGAGCGCCUCGGCCACCGCGGGACCUCGGACCACGUCCCCUCAGUGGUUCCGCCAUCUCCCACACUGCUUCCACAAACACCGGCCUCUACACAGUCACCGGCCCACCGUAUUAGCGUCUGUCCCUUUCAUUGGACGAACAGCCUGCCGGUCAUCAUCUCUUCCCGCCCACACGCUCUGGAUCCGCCUAUCCACGUUCUCAUUGGUCUACUUACCUGUCUAUCACCUACCCUCCACUAAAACAAAGGCGCCAAAGAUUCCAAUCUCUUUGGUACAAUCAAAAAAGGUUUCGAUUCUGUACAGUUCAUCCAUUGGCUAAAUUUCCUCCUGACCCAGCCUUCCCCAGGGCCCGCCCAUUAGAGAAAUCCAUUUUCCUGGUUGGUGAAAGACUGGCGCAUCCUGGGAAUUGUAGUCCUCAUUCUCGGAAGCCACAGAAAAAGCCUUGUGGAACUAAGGUUAGAAGCUGAAGAUCUUGGGCUGUGGAUUCCUUUUGUGUCCUCAACCUCUGUGUGGCAGGAGUUCCAUUCCACACUAAACACCUUCAUGCAUGUCACCUCUGAAAUACUCUACAAACACAAUAUCAAAACAAUAUAUGUCAUAGCACAGCACAACUCAGAAACACUUUUUAAGACAAUUACAAAUUAAAAUAAGAGACUUACUUCCCUGUUGCAAAGAAAAGAGGCUUCCUUCUGGCUCCUCUUUCCUGAUCAUUGAAAUAUGAAUGCUUCUCGGUUUACAGCGGGGUUACUCUUGAUAAAGGCCUUGCUGCCGCUUAUCUGCACAAUGUACUACAGAGCACCAGGGUUCAUGCUCGUGAUUGUAGACUGACUGGGAGCUAGCUGCGCUUUCCAGCAACAUGCUAUGCACACUUAGCUCGUUUGGGAAACAAUACAACUUCAAAACUCAGAAAGGUCUGAAUUCUGAGAGGUCUUUGAUGGUUUAAUGUUUGUCUGCUGGUCAAUACCCUGCUGGCAUUCACUCAUGCAUGUGGAAAUUAACUGAAAAAAAUGUAAGUACUGUCAGUACCAUGGUUGUGCAUAUGCUAAUCCUUCUAAUGUCUUAAUAAACCCCUUGCCUUUUCACAACUC
Molecule: long non-coding RNA, 1888 nt
Filed under: Mus musculus (house mouse)
Lineage: Eukaryota; Metazoa; Chordata; Mammalia; Rodentia; Muridae
Description: long non-coding RNA chr7:126395857-126397745
Source: RNAcentral